This 495-nucleotide ribosomal RNA is filed under the name uncultured bacterium. Its description in RNAcentral is "partial 16S ribosomal RNA". It matches the Rfam family "Bacterial small subunit ribosomal RNA", at positions 28 to 507 of the family's 1533-position model. The record is from RNAcentral.
GACGAACGCUGGCGGCGUGCCUAAUACAUGCAAGUAGAACGCUGAAGGAGGAGCUUGCUUCUCUGGAUGAGUUGCGAACGGGUGAGUAACGCGUAGGUAACCUGCCUGGUAGCGGGGGAUAACUAUUGGAAACGAUAGCUAAUACCGCAUAAGAUUGACUAUUGCAUGAUAGUCAGUUAAAAGGUGCAAUUGCAUCACUACCAGAUGGACCUGCGUUGUAUUAGCUAGUUGGUGGGGUAACGGCUCACCAAGGCGACGAUACAUAGCCGACCUGAGAGGGUGAUCGGCCACACUGGGACUGAGACACGGCCCAGACUCCUACGGGAGGCAGCAGUAGGGAAUCUUCGGCAAUGGACGGAAGUCUGACAGAGCAACGCCGCGUGAGUGAAGAAGGUUGUCGGAUCGUAAAGCUCGGUUGUAAGAGAAGAACGAGGGUGAGAGUGGAAAGUUCACACUGUGACGGUAUCUUACCAGAAAGGGACGGCUAACUACGUG